This 391-nucleotide ribosomal RNA is filed under the name uncultured bacterium. RNAcentral's name for it is "bacterial SSU rRNA". It matches the Rfam family "Bacterial small subunit ribosomal RNA", at positions 28 to 418 of the family's 1533-position model. The record is from RNAcentral.
GACGAACGCUGGCGGCGUGCUUAACACAUGCAAGUCGAACGGAAAGGCCCAGCUUGCUGGGUACACGAGUGGCGAACGGGUGAGUAACACGUGGGUGAUCUGCCCCAAACUUCGGGAUAAGCCUGGGAAACUGGGUCUAAUACCGGAUACGACCUGCUCCUGCAUGGGGGUUGGUGGAAAGCUUUUGCGGUUUGGGAUGGGCCCGCGGCCUAUCAGCUUGUUGGUGGGUAAUGGCCUACCAAGGCGACGACGGGUAGCCGACCUGAGAGGGUGAUCGGGCCACACUGGGACUGAGACACGGCCCAGACUCCUACGGGAGGCAGCAGUGGGGAAUAGUUGCACAAUGGGCGCAAGCCUGAUGCAGCGACGCCGCGUGAGGGAUGACGGCCUU